Clostridia bacterium 41_269 is the source of this 104-nucleotide non-coding RNA. The record is from Rfam. Lineage: Bacteria; Bacillati; Bacillota; Clostridia.
AAGCCCUUUAAAUCGGUCCAGAGAGGCUGAUAAGGGAAUGGUUAUAAGGGGUUUUUAUGGAUUUACAGCCUCCCUUAUUGGCCUUAAAUAGGGGAGGUUUUAUU